UUUCUGUGUUGUUCCUCUUUUCCUCCUCUCUUCUCUCCUCUCUUUCUCCUCCUCUUUCCUCUCCUCCUCUCUUCUCUCCUCCGCUCUUCUCUCCUCUUCUCUCCUCUCCUCCUCUCUUCUCUUCUCUUCUCUCCUCUCCUCCUCUCUUCUCUUCUCUUCUCUUCUCUUCUCUUCUCUUCUCUUCUCUUCUCUUCUCUUCUCUUCUCUUCUCUUCUCUUCUCUUCUCUUCUCUUCUCUUCUCUUCUCUUCUCUUCUCUUCUCUUCUCUUCUCUUCUCUUCUCUUCUCUUCUCUUCUCUUCUCUUCUCUUCUCUUCUCUUCUCUUCUCUUCUCUCCUCUCCUCCUCUCUUCUCUUCUCUCCUCCUCUCUUCUCUUCUCUCCUCAUCCCCUCCUCUACUCUUCUCCUCUCUUCCUUUCUUCUCUCCUCCUCCUCUCCUCUUCUCUCCUCCUCCUCUCUUCUUUCCUCCUCCUCUCCUCCUCUCUUCUUUCGUCCUCUUCUCUCCUCCUCUCUUCUCUCCUCCUCUCUUCUCUCCUCCUCUCUUCUCUCCUCCUCUCUUCUCUCCUCCUCUCUUCUCUCCUCCUCUCUUCUUUCCUCCUCCCAUUCUCUCCUCCUCUCUCCUCUCUUUCCUCCUCCUCUCUUCUCUCCUCCUCUUCUCUCCUCUCUUCUCUUCUUCUCUCUUCUCUCCUCCUUCUCCUCCUCCUUCCUCUCCUGUUCUCUGCAACUUAACUUCCUUCCUCCUCCUCCCUUCUCUCCUCAGCCUAGGUUGGCCCCUCCUCUCCACCAGGCCAUACCUCUACCAGCUGUCUGCAGCGUCCACAACACACUACCCACAACCUACCAGGAGACUCACCACGCUACCCACAACCUACCAGGAGACUCACCACGCUACCCACAACCUACCAGGAGACUCACCACGCUACCCACAACCUACCAGGAGACUCACCACGCUACCCACAACCUACCAGGAGACUCACCACGCUACCCACAACCUACCAGGAGACUCACCACGCUACCCACAACCUACCAGGAGACUCACCACGCUGCCAACAACCCAUCUGGAGUGAGUGCUUGGCCUGGUCGCUGCCUGCCGAUAGAUAGACAUGAUGGACCAACUGACUGA
This 1119-nucleotide long non-coding RNA is filed under the name Oncorhynchus kisutch (coho salmon). RNAcentral's name for it is "lncRNA (ENSOKIG00005029087.1)". The record is from RNAcentral. Lineage: Eukaryota; Metazoa; Chordata; Actinopteri; Salmoniformes; Salmonidae.